GAUGAAGAACGCAGCGAAAUGCGAUACGUAAUGUGAAUUGCAGAAUCCAGUGAAUCAUCGAAUCUUUGAACGCACAUUGCGCCCGCCAGUAUUCUGGCGGGCAUGCCUGUCCGAGCGUCAUUUCAACCAUCAAGCCUAGUGCUUGUGUUGGGGCCCCGCGGCUGCCGCGGGCCCUGAAAACCAGUGGCGGGCUCGAAGUCGAACCUAGUGCAGUAAAUUUCUUCGCUUGGGAAGGUGACGAGUUCCGGCCGUAAAAAGCCCAACUUUAUCAAGGUUGACCUCGGAUCAGGUAGGACUACCCGCUGAACUUAAGCAUAUCAAUAAGCGGAG
RNAcentral lists this unclassified non-coding RNA (330 nucleotides) under soil metagenome. RNAcentral's name for it is "partial contains 5.8S ribosomal RNA, internal transcribed spacer 2, and large subunit ribosomal RNA". The stretch from base 1 to 120 matches the Rfam family "5.8S ribosomal RNA", at positions 35 to 154 of the family's 154-position model. The record is from RNAcentral.